UGCAGUCGAGCGGGCGUAGCAGUACGUCAGCGGCAGACGGGUGAGUAACGCGUGGGAACGUACCUUUUGGUUCGGAACAACACAGGGAAACUUGUGCUAAUACCGGAUAAGCCCUUACGGGGAAAGAUUUAUCGCCGAAAGAUCGGCCCGCGUCUGAUUAGCUAGUUGGUGAGGUAACGGCUCACCAAGGCGACGAUCAGUAGCUGGUCUGAGAGGAUGAUCAGCCACAUUGGGACUGAGACACGGCCCAAACUCCUACGGGAGGCAGCAGUGGGGAAUAUUGGACAAUGGGCGCAAGCCUGAUCCAGCCAUGCCGCGUGAGUGAUGAAGGCCCUAGGGUUGUAAAGCUCUUUUGUGCGGGAAGAUAAUGACGGUACCGCAAGAAUAAGCCCCGGCUAACUUCGUGCCAGCAGCCGCGGUAAUACGAAGGGGGCUAGCGUUGCUCGGAAUCACUGGGCGUAAAGGGUGCGUAGGCGGGUCUUUAAGUCAGGGGUGAAAUCCUGGAGCUCAACUCCAGAACUGCCUUUGAUACUGAAGAUCUUGAGUUCGGGAGAGGUGAGUGGAACUGCGAGUGUAGAGGUGAAAUUCGUAGAUAUUCGCAAGAACACCAGUGGCGAAGGCGGCUCACUGGCCCGAUACUGACGCUGAGG
This 650-nucleotide ribosomal RNA is filed under the name uncultured bacterium. RNAcentral's name for it is "bacterial SSU rRNA". It matches the Rfam family "Bacterial small subunit ribosomal RNA", at positions 56 to 751 of the family's 1533-position model. The record is from RNAcentral.